Molecule: ribosomal RNA, 373 nt
Filed under: uncultured organism
Description: bacterial SSU rRNA
Rfam family: Bacterial small subunit ribosomal RNA
Source: RNAcentral
CGGGGGGAGCAAGCGUUGUUCGGAUUUACUGGGCGUAAAGGGCGCGUAGGCGGCGCAACAAGUCACUUGUGAAAUCUCCGGGCUUAACCCGGAGCGGCCAAGUGAUACUGUCGUGCUAGAGUGCGGAAGGGGCUACUGGAAUUCUCGGUGUAGCGGUGAAAUGCGUAGAUAUCGAGAGGAACACCUGCGGCGAAGGCGGGUAGCUGGGCCGACACUGACGCUGAGGCGCGAAAGCCAGGGGAGCGAACGGGAUUAGAUACCCCGGUAGUCCUGGCCUUAAACGAUGGAUGCUUGGUGUCCGGGGUUACAUAGUCCCCGGGUGCCGGCGCUAACGCAUUAAGCAUCCCGCCUGGGGAGUACGGCCGCAAGGUUG